GAAGGGGUGUAUUUAUUAGAUAAAAAACCAACGCCCUUCGGGGCUCCUUGGUGAAUCAUAAUAACUUAACGAAUCGCAUGGCCUUGCGCCGGCGAUGGUUCAUUCAAAUUUCUGCCCUAUCAACUUUCGAUGGUAGGAUAGUGGCCUACCAUGGUGGCAACGGGUAACGGGGAAUUAGGGUUCGAUUCCGGAGAGGGAGCCUGAGAAACGGCUACCACAUCCAAGGAAGGCAGCAGGCGCGCAAAUUACCCAAUCCCGAUACGGGGAGGUAGUGACAAUAAAUACUGAUACGGGGCUCUUUUGGGUCUCGUAAUUGGAAUGAGAACAAUUUAAAUCCCUUAACGAGGAACAAUUGGAGGGCAAGUCUGGUGCCAGCAGCCGCGGUAAUUCCAGCUCCAAUAGCGUAUAUUAAAGUUGUUGCAGUUAAAAAGCUCGUAGUUGAACCUUGGGUCUGGCUGGCCGGUCCGCCUCACCGCGAGUACUGGUCCGGCUGGACCUUUCCUUCUGGGGAACCUCAUGGCCUUCACUGGCUGUGGGGGGAACCAGGACUUUUACUGUGAAAAAAUUAGAGUGUUCAAAGCAG
This 583-nucleotide ribosomal RNA is filed under the name Pezizomycotina sp. T39102FG4. Its description in RNAcentral is "SSU rRNA". It matches the Rfam family "Eukaryotic small subunit ribosomal RNA", at positions 195 to 783 of the family's 1831-position model. The record is from RNAcentral. Lineage: Eukaryota; Fungi; Ascomycota.